UGAUAGUAUCAGAAGAGGAAGGGACGGCUAACUCUGUGCCAGCAGCCGCGGUAAUACAGAGGUCCCAAGCGUUGUUCGGAUUCAUUGGGCGUAAAGGGUGCGUAGGUGGCGCCGUAAGUGGGGUGUGAAAUUUCGGAGCUUAACUCCGAAACUGCAUUCCAUACUGCGGUGCUUGAGGACUGGAGAGGAGACUGGAAUUUACGGUGUAGCAGUGAAAUGCGUAGAGAUCGUAAGGAAGACCAGUGGCGAAGGCGGGUCUCUGGACAGUUCCUGACACUGAGGCACGAAGGCCAGGGGAGCAAACGGGAUUAGAUACCCCGGUAGUCCUGGCAGUAAACGGUGCACGUUUGGUGUGGGGGGAUUCGACCCCUUCUGCGCCGGAGCUAACGCGUUAAACGUGCCGCCUGGGGAGUACGGUCGCAAGAUUAAAACUCAAAGAAAUUGACGGGGGCCCGCACAAGCGGUGGAGUAUGUGGCUUAAUUCGAUGCAACGCGAAGAACCUUACCUGGCCUUGACAUGCAUCUCUAAGCUGGUGAAAGCCAGUGAGUGUCGAAAGACAUAAUUUGCACAGGUGC
RNAcentral lists this ribosomal RNA (576 nucleotides) under uncultured Verrucomicrobiota bacterium. RNAcentral describes it as "bacterial SSU rRNA". It matches the Rfam family "Bacterial small subunit ribosomal RNA", at positions 470 to 1041 of the family's 1533-position model. Lineage: Bacteria; Pseudomonadati; Verrucomicrobiota. The record is from RNAcentral.